GGGUCAAGCUUUGAGAUUCCACCCGCUGCUUUGCAAUCUUUUAUCACCCUUUCUAUUGUGAUCAUUAUUCCCAUCUAUGACCGUGUUCUUGUUCCUUGUGCACGAGCUGUAACCGGGAAACCCUCUGGCAUAACAAUGCUUCAAAGAAUUGGGGUUGGUAUAGCCUUCUCCAUCAUUUCUAUGGUAAUUGCAGCUCUGGUAGAGAUGAAAAGACUCCAAACUGCUCGUGACUACGGGCUGGUUGAUAAACCCGAUGUUACCAUUCCAAUGUCCAUCUAUUGGCUGGUUCCACAGUACGUGCUAUUUGGAAUUGCUGAUGUAUUCACUAUGGUUGGUCUGCAAGAAUUCUUUUAUGAUCAAGUUCCAAAUGAACUAAAAAGUAUUGGUCUUUCUCUGUACCUCAGCAUCUUUGGUGUUGGGAGCUUCCUUAGCAGCUUUCUUAUUUCCAUUAUCGAGAAAACAACUGGUUCUGAUGGUCAGGACAGUUGGUUCUCAGACAACUUAAAUCGAGGACAUCUGGAUUACUUUUAUUGGUUACUCGGGGGCCUUAGUACAAUCUCAGCUGUAUUGUACUUAUACUCUGCAAGAACAUAUGUUUACAAACAGAGGCAUACUUUCUGAGUCUACGGAGAUGACUGUUGUUGUUAGCAUAAUACAACUAUAUAAGCUAGUACCAUAGCAAUGAAAGUUUCUUUGUAAACGACUGCAUUUGUAUACACGAGCUUUCGUUAAACGGCUUGUAAUGCUCCAGUUGGUUAAGUAUCAUCUGAAAUACUACAGUUCAGUUAUCGGAACAGAGAGCAGGCUUCCCCUCCAGCAGGAACAGGAAACGUAACACAGGGUUUAAGAAAUUUUAUGGUGUUUCAGAAUAGAGCCAACAACAAGAUUGAAUAGCACUAUAGGCUAUAGCUGGUAUGAAUCUGAGGAUUGUAAAUUUGUAACGCAGCACAAGUUGAAGGAAAGAGAUGUCAUGUUUUAACUUGAUCGCUCAACUCAUUUUCGAGUAGAGAUAAACUCAUAUCACCUACCCAAUUUAUAAAUCACUGGGGUUUAAAAAUAUUACGGUACAAACUACUAAAUACAAAUAUAAAUUCGAAUCAAUGCUUUUAAAAAUAUGGAAAGCUUCGUGGGUCUUGAGAAUGGACUCCGAGGAAGGUGUGUGAUAAAGUAUUGGGGCCUAGUGGACGGGGAUGAGCUCUAGUCGGGGAUGAGCUCUAGUCGGAAAGGAGUACGGUAAAGUAUUGGCUUUUGAGUUUAGAGCAGAUUAGAAUGGAUGAGUGUGGAUGAGUGACAUCUGGAGAUGGUUAAAAGGAGUACGGUAAAGUAUUGGUUUUUGAGUUUGGAGUGGAUCAGAAUGGAUGGGUGACAUCUGGAGACGGUUAAUGUCACAUGUCUAGCUUCUCAUUCAAUUUUCGUAUAAUUGAACCUCGUGUUGAAUUUAAUACUACUACACUUGCUAGCGUGGGCAAUAUUAUACCAAACGUAUAAUAUCAAGAAGAUGACAAUGACAACAUAAAAAGACACCACCUCGCGUUGAACAUAAUUUGAGUUUGACAUGGCUACUAUCACCGGAAUCACUGCUGCUGCCAUGGACACUCCGCUUCUGCUAAGCAACGACGACGUUGUCAGCAGCGUCGUUGACUUCAAAAACCGUCCUGCUCACCGAUCCAAAACUGGUGGAUGGAGAUCAGCUUCAUUCAUAAUAGGUAUCAAACAAAUUAAACUUCACAAAUCCUGAAACAAGUGCAAUUUGUAAUUAUAUAGUAUCAUGUAGAAAAUUAUGAAUCUGAUAUGCAGGAGUGGAAGUUGCUGAGAGAUUUGCGUAUUAUGGAAUAAGUACGAAUCUAAUAACAUUUCUUACUGGUCCAUUGGGUCAAUCCACUGCCAGUGCCGCAGCUAAUGUCAAUGCUUGGAAUGGAACCGCAUCUCUUUUGCCGCUGUUAGGUGCUUUUGUGGCUGAUUCCUUUUUAGGACGAUACCGUACUAUUACCAUUUCUUCUUGCAUUUACAUUCUGGUACGUGCUUCACUUCUUAUGUGCAUUUUAUUAUGCAAUCCCGCUCAAGUUAAACUGAUAAUUUUGUGAUUUAUAUGCAAAUUAUUCAUUAGUAAUUUAUGUAACUGUUGUGAGUGGCGGUUUUGAACUCAAAUUGUGAUUACUGUUUUGAAUCCAAAUCACCAGUUUCAACCACAGAAAUCAUCAGUGUCACAGAUCUUGUUUUAUCUGGUUCCUUGUUGCAUAAAGUUUGAGAAUGGAAUAAGAGUAUCAGAGACACCUCAAUGGUCAUUAAUGUUGAUUACCAUCAUGUACCUAAGGAGGCCGUAAGAAUUGAAUUGUCAAAUUUUGAACAUGCCUGUCAUUGUUUCUAAAAAUUUCAAGAGUUAUUAUACUGAGGCCAAAUAUGAUAUUAUGCAGACAGCUCAAUAAUAAGCAUUGAAUUGUCAAACGUCGAACAGGCCUGUCAUUGUUCCUGAAAAUUUCAAGAGCUAUUAUACAGCGGGCAUAAAUGAAAGUAUUCAGAUGAUGUAGUGUAUGUGGAUUGGUGGGACGUACGUUUAGGAUCAUACAAAUUUUGAUAACUAGAUGUAUGUUUAAUAAGCUCCCAUUAACUCAUGCUCUGCUAUUAAUCCCCAACCUCGAGCAAAUAUCUUUUCUAAGACCUAAUAAAGAGACAAAAGGAACCGUGCAAGGCCACUUCUGAUCAAUCAAAAGCUUUUACUUAUAUUUUGCAUCAUGCUGUUUAUUUGAUACAAUUUAUUCUAUUUAAAAAUUGCUAACUGCAUUUCUCAUAAAGUUGGAUUGAACUGCAGGGCCUUGGAUUGUUAACACUUUCAGCCAGUUUUACUUCUUCAACUUCUACAGGCUGUAUCACUGUCGCUGAUACUGGGACAUGUUCUCCUCCACAAAUCCAGAUUAUAUUCUUCUUUUUCUCUUUAUAUUUAGUAGCAGUUGCACAAGGAGGGCAUAAACCUUGCGUUCAGGCUUUUGGUGCUGACCAGUUUGAUGUUAAUGAUCCAGAGGAGUGCAAAGCUAAAAGUUCCUUCUUCAAUUGGUGGUACUUUGGAUUAUGUUCUGGUACUAUGGUGACUAUUAUAGUCUUAUCGUAUGUACAGGAUAACUUUAGCUGGGUACUUGGGUUUGGAAUUCCUUGUAUCGCCAUGGGAGUUGCUCUAGUCCUGUACUUGCUUGGGACAGUGACAUACCGGUAUAGUAGUAAUGAUGAUGAGAAAGGCCCUUUCACUAGAACCAGUCAAGUAUUUGUCAAAGCAAUUAAGAAUUGGAAAAUUGAUCCCUCUGAAUUAUCCAUUUUUGAGGAAGCUCGUGGAACUUUACCACAUCAGAAUUUUCUACAAUUCAAGUAAGUAAACAUAUUUCUUGUUCCAUGAGUUGGAAAAUUAAAUGACGUUUCUAAUCAGCUAUUUCAUUUUAUUCAGUUUUCUUAACAAAGCUUUGAUCUUGCCUAAUGGUUCAAAGGAAGAAGCAAACAUCUGUAGCAUGAAUGACGUUGAAGAGGCAAAAGCCGUUUUGAGGCUAGUUCCUAUAUGGGGUUCUUGUUUAGCAUUUGCCAUCGUCUUUGCACAGUCACCCACUUUCUUCACCAAGCAGGGAGUUACCCUAAACAGGUCUGUCGGGUCAAGCUUUGAGAUUCCACCCGCUGCUUUGCAAUCUUUUAUCACCCUUACUAUUGUAGUCAUUAUUCCCAUCUAUGACCGUGUUCUUGUUCCUUGUGCUCGAGCUGUAACCGGGAAACCCUCUGGCAUAACAAUGCUUCAAAGAAUUGGGGUUGGUAUAGCCUUCUCCAUCAUUUCUAUGGUAAUUGCAGCUCUGGUAGAGAUGAAAAGACUCCAAACUGCUCGUGACUACGGGCUGGUUG
This 3873-nucleotide long non-coding RNA is filed under the name Daucus carota (carrot). RNAcentral describes it as "long non-coding RNA (DCAR_LNC003571)". Lineage: Eukaryota; Viridiplantae; Streptophyta; Magnoliopsida; Apiales; Apiaceae. The record is from RNAcentral.